This is a long non-coding RNA of Neofelis nebulosa (Clouded leopard), 802 nucleotides long. RefSeq lists it as uncharacterized. Lineage: Eukaryota; Metazoa; Chordata; Mammalia; Carnivora; Felidae. The transcript is spliced from 2 exons. The record is from RefSeq and is a predicted model, not a curated record.
AGUGACAGCUUUUUCUACUGUACAUAAAGACUUGCUUGAGUCAGGGCAUGAUGUGGGUACCAUUUUAAAUAGAAAGAAACAAAGACCAUGGAAGACAAACUAGAAAACAGAAGUACUGAGCAGGAGGGAAGGCAAGGGGAAACGGGCCAAAGCAGAGGCGGGCAGGCUACAAGGUGACUCUUCCCACCUCCUCAACCAGGAGAUGUUGCUUUUCCUUAACCAUGUUCUUGCCGCAGCACCAGCGCUCAAGACGGCAAAUCAGAAACAAAACUACAGGUUAGAAUAGCAGGUGGUGGAAGGCCAUAAAGAAAAAUAUCUUCCCUCUUUUGAGAAGUCAACACGUGAUUUAAAGGAGACGAUUCAACUGGUCCUUCACCUUAAAUGUGCAAAAAUGGAGCCCCUUCACUAGCCCAUAGGGCAGGUUCUUUCUCAUGGGGCUGAUGCUCUUUUCUGUUUUCCCCAAACACUAGAACACACAAAACCAGGCAAAAAUCAAUCUAGAAAACAAAAAGUGUCCGGGAAGAGGAGGCAUGCAAAUGGUAAACAUCACUCAUUUGCUCAACAAAUAUUUGAGUGCCUACUCUACGCCAGCAACUACCUGUCAAGAAGCAGUUUGGCUUUACCAGGCCACCGAGCGUGAAACUGAAGAUCUGGACUGUGGAAGUGACUCAAAUGCUAAGAGCCUAAUUUGAGAGGCAAAGGUAAACGGGAGACAAGCACAUACACUUCGCCCAUGACUAGUAACUCAGUCACUCGGAUUAUUACACACAAAUAAAGCCAGAUCGUAGGUGGAGAAAUUGCC